AGAUUGCAGCACGAGAGUUUCGCGUAUGGUCUCCCACUACACUACUCGGUCUCGCUCUUAAUAGCUUAACUACAGUUGAUCGGACGGGAAACGGUGCUUUCUACUAGAUGUGGCCGCAACC
RNAcentral lists this ribosomal RNA (121 nucleotides) under Debaryomyces nepalensis. The record is from RNAcentral. Lineage: Eukaryota; Fungi; Ascomycota; Pichiomycetes; Serinales; Debaryomycetaceae.